AAGUCGUAACAAGGUCUCCGUUGGUGAACCAGCGGAGGGAUCAUUACAGAGUUAUCCAAACUCCCAAACCCAUGUGAACUUACCUAUGUUGCCUCGGCAGGACUUACCCGGUAGCUACCCGGUAGCUACCCGGUAUCUACCCGGUACGUACCCUGUAAUUGCUGGGUAAGCCUGCCGAAGGACCAUUUAAACUCUUGUUUUAUUGUGGCACUCUGAAUAACCAAAACUAAAUAAGUUAAAACUUUCAACAACGGAUCUCUUGGUUCUGGCAUCGAUGAAGAACGCAGCGAAAUGCGAUAAGUAAUGUGAAUUGCAGAAUUCAGUGAAUCAUCGAAUCUUUGAACGCACAUUGCGCCCACUAGUAUUCUGGUGGGCAUGCCUGUUCGAGCGUCAUUUCGACCCCUAAGCCUUAGUUGUUUAGCGUUGGGGGCUUGCGUCCUCGCGGCGCAACCCCUUAAAUUUCGUGGCAGGGCUCGCGUCGCCUUGAAGUGUAGUAAUUAUGUUCUCACUUUUAGGGGGUGUUCGCGCGGCACAGCCAAGUGAAACCUUAUAUAUCUAGUGGUUGACCUCGGAUCAGGUAGGAAUACCCGCUGAACUUAA
This 600-nucleotide ribosomal RNA is filed under the name uncultured Lopadostoma. RNAcentral's name for it is "eukaryotic LSU rRNA". The stretch from base 240 to 393 matches the Rfam family "5.8S ribosomal RNA". Lineage: Eukaryota; Fungi; Ascomycota; Sordariomycetes; Xylariales; Xylariaceae. The record is from RNAcentral.